RNAcentral lists this ribosomal RNA (1018 nucleotides) under uncultured bacterium. RNAcentral's name for it is "bacterial SSU rRNA". It matches the Rfam family "Bacterial small subunit ribosomal RNA", at positions 355 to 1375 of the family's 1533-position model. The record is from RNAcentral.
UGAGGAAUAUUGGUCAAUGGGCGGGAGCCUGAACCAGCCAAGUAGCGUGAAGGACGACGGCCCUACGGGUUGUAAACUUCUUUUAUAAGGGAAUAAAGUUCGCCACGUGUGGUGUUUUGUAUGUACCUUAUGAAUAAGCAUCGGCUAAUUCCGUGCCAGCAGCCGCGGUAAUACGGAAGAUGCGAGCGUUAUCCGGAUUUAUUGGGUUUAAAGGGAGCGUAGGCGGGCUUUUAAGUCAGCGGUCAAAUGUCGUGGCUCAACCAUGUCAAGCCGUUGAAACUGUAAGCCUUGAGUCUGCACAGGGCACAUGGAAUUCGUGGUGUAGCGGUGAAAUGCUUAGAUAUCACGAAGAACUCCGAUCGCGAAGGCAUUGUGCCGGGGCAUAACUGACGCUGAGGCUCGAAAGUGCGGGUAUCAAACAGGAUUAGAUACCCUGGUAGUCCGCACGGUAAACGAUGAAUGCUCGCUAUGGGCGAUAUAUUGUCCGUGGCCAAGCGAAAGCGUUAAGCAUUCCACCUGGGGAGUACGCCGGCAACGGUGAAACUCAAAGGAAUUGACGGGGGCCCGCACAAGCGGAGGAACAUGUGGUUUAAUUCGAUGAUACGCGAGGAACCUUACCCGGGCUUGAAUUGCAGGUGCAUGAGUCAGAGACGGCUCUUUCCUUCGGGACUCCUGUGAAGGUGCUGCAUGGUUGUCGUCAGCUCGUGCCGUGAGGUGUCGGCUUAAGUGCCAUAACGAGCGCAACCCUUCUCCCCAGUUGCCAUCGGGUAAUGCCGGGCCCUCUGGGGACACUGCCAUCGUAAGAUGCGAGGAAGGUGGGGAUGACGUCAAAUCAGCACGGCCCUUACGUCCGGGGCCACACACGUGUUACAAUGGGGGGUACAGAGGGCCGCUGUCCGGUGACGGUCGGCCAAUCCCUAAAACCCCUCUCAGUUCGGACUGGAGUCUGCAACCCGACUCCACGAAGCUGGAUUCGCUAGUAAUCGCGCAUCAGCCAUGGCGCGGUGAAUACGUUCCC